UACGUAGGGGGCAAGCGUUGUCCGGAAUUAUUGGGCGUAAAGAGCUCGUAGGCGGUCAGUCGCGUCUGCUGUGAAAACUCGGGGCUUAACUCCGGGCCUGCAGUGGGUACGGGCAGACUAGAGUGCAGUAGGGGAGACUGGAAUUCCUGGUGUAGCGGUGAAAUGCGCAGAUAUCAGGAGGAACACCGGUGGCGAAGGCGGGUCUCUGGGCCGUAACUGACGCUGAGGAGCGAAAGCGUGGGGAGCGAACAGG
This 253-nucleotide ribosomal RNA is filed under the name uncultured bacterium. RNAcentral's name for it is "partial 16S ribosomal RNA". It matches the Rfam family "Bacterial small subunit ribosomal RNA", at positions 524 to 776 of the family's 1533-position model. The record is from RNAcentral.